RNAcentral lists this non-coding RNA (68 nucleotides) under Coccidioides immitis RS. Lineage: Eukaryota; Fungi; Ascomycota; Eurotiomycetes; Onygenales; Onygenaceae. The record is from RNAcentral.
CCUAAGCAUGACUUGCACCUCUACGUGGUGCUUAGGACUAGUAACCUUGAUGGUGAAGCCAAGCAAGU